UCACGUCUUACGACGGCAGUUUCACUAGAGUUCCCAGCGUUACCUGAUGGCAACUAGUGAUGGGGGUUGCGCUCGUUGCGGGACUUAACCCAACACCUCACGGCACGAGCUGACGACAACCAUGCAGCACCUUGUAAUUUGUGUAUUGCUACAAAGACCCCUUUCAGGAUCGGUCAAACUACAUUCUAGCCUAGGUAAGGUUCCUCGCGUAUCAUCGAAUUAAGCCACAUGCUCCACCGCUUGUGCGGACCCCCGCCAAUUCCUUUGAGUUUCAACCUUGCGGUCGUACUUCCCAGGUGGUAAACUUCACGCGUUAGCUGCGUUACUAAGGGAGGUAAGUCCCCCAACAACUAGUUGACAUCGUUUAGGGCGUGGACUAC
Molecule: unclassified non-coding RNA, 380 nt
Filed under: uncultured Chitinophagales bacterium
Lineage: Bacteria; Pseudomonadati; Bacteroidota; Chitinophagia; Chitinophagales
Description: contains 16S-23S intergenic spacer region
Source: RNAcentral